GGGCAGUGUCAACAGGCAGGUAUAUGUGGCGCGCGAGCAUCUUAUCUAAUGAGUCUAUUCUUUUUCCAUUAAUAAGGCCGCCUUCUUGCUCUUUGUUGAACACGCGUGAAUAUUUAUACGAUUUACAUCGCAGAAAUUUACAUUUCCAAGGUUAAAGUAAAAUGUUUGAACAUGAGAUAAUAAACGUUCUUCGUAUAUGAAUAGUAAUAUCUGUCUGCAGUGUGCGAUAUCACGACGUGAUGAUUCAGCAAUGUCUCCAGUUUGCAUUUCCAUUAGUGAACGAAAAUUCUACACGUGUGUUCUAAAAUUUUCAAUAUACAGGAGUAACUGAACUCCAACUUAGUUCGGCAUCUGAUCCAACGAUGUCUCAUCGCAAAAUUGUAUGCGUCAGCGACGGCAAUUAUUGACAUUAGCGAAGUAAUUAAAUAAAUGUUCAAAGUUAUACUUAUGCAUUAUUGCAAUAUGUAUACAUUAUUGUGCUUGAAGAUAUUGUCCGAGAACUGCUUGUUAAAUUUUGACAUUUUCAAGAACAAUUAAGAAACCUUUGAAAACUA
Long non-coding RNA from Solenopsis invicta (red fire ant), 554 nucleotides. RefSeq lists it as uncharacterized. The record is from RefSeq and is a predicted model, not a curated record. Lineage: Eukaryota; Metazoa; Arthropoda; Insecta; Hymenoptera; Formicidae. The transcript is spliced from 2 exons.